Schistocerca gregaria is the source of this 102-nucleotide small nuclear RNA. The record is from RefSeq and is a predicted model, not a curated record. NCBI's taxonomy places the organism in Eukaryota, Metazoa, Arthropoda, Insecta, Orthoptera, Acrididae.
GUACUCGCUCCGGCUGUACAUGUUCCAAAAUUGGUAAAGAGAAGAUUAGCGUGGCCCCUGUGCAAAGACCACAAGUAAAAUAGUGAAAAAAGAACAAAAAGU